GACGAACGCUGGCGGCGUGCCUAAUACAUGCCAGUCGAGCGGACGAAUCGAAAGCUUGCUUUUGAUUCGUUAGCGGCGGACGGGUGAGUAACACGUGGGCAACCUGCCCUGUAGACGGGGAUAACACCGAGAAAUCGGUGCUAAUACCGGAUAACACGAAAUGUCGCAUGACGUUUCGUUGAAAGACGGCGCAAGCUGUCGCUACAGGAUGGGCCCGCGGCGCAUUAGCUAGUUGGUGAGGUAACGGCUCACCAAGGCGACGAUGCGUAGCCGACCUGAGAGGGUGAUCGGCCACACUGGGACUGAGACACGGCCCAGACUCCUACGGGAGGCAGCAGUAGGGAAUCUUCCGCAAUGGACGAAAGUCUGACGGAGCAACGCCGCGUGAGCGAAGAAGGCCUUCGGGUCGUAAAGCUCUGUUGUUAGGGAAGAACAAGUUACGCAGUAACUGGCGUUACCGUGACGGUACCUAACGAGAAAGCCACGGCUAACUACGUG
This 498-nucleotide ribosomal RNA is filed under the name uncultured bacterium. RNAcentral's name for it is "partial 16S ribosomal RNA". It matches the Rfam family "Bacterial small subunit ribosomal RNA", at positions 28 to 507 of the family's 1533-position model. The record is from RNAcentral.